RNAcentral lists this small nuclear RNA (308 nucleotides) under Microtus ochrogaster (prairie vole). Its description in RNAcentral is "7SK RNA (ENSMOCG00000010053.1)". It matches the Rfam family "7SK RNA". From Rfam's summary of the family: 7SK was discovered as an abundant small nuclear RNA in the mid-70s but a possible function has only recently been suggested. Two independent studies have found that 7SK RNA binds the CDK9/cyclin T complex (known as elongation factor P-TEFb). P-TEFb activates transcription by phosphorylating the C-terminal domain of RNA polymerase II. Lineage: Eukaryota; Metazoa; Chordata; Mammalia; Rodentia; Cricetidae. The record is from RNAcentral.
GGAUGUGAGCGUGAUCUGGCUGUGACAUCUGUCAUCCCAUUGAUCGUCAGGGUUGAUUCAGCUGAUCUGGCUGGCUAGGUGGGUGUCCCCUUCCUCCCUCACCGCUCCAUAUACAUCCCUCCCGAAGCUGUGCACUUGGUUGAAGAGGAUUACCUUCCCCUAAUAGAGGAGGACCCGUCUUCGGUCAAGGGUAUACGAGUAGCUGUUCUCCCCUGCUAGAACCUCCACACAUGCUCUCAAGAUCACUUGUGUGUUUGAACUUAGCCAUUCUGACAGGUGUAAGAUAGAAUCCCAAAGUAUUUGUAUUU